This 247-nucleotide ribosomal RNA is filed under the name uncultured bacterium. RNAcentral's name for it is "partial 16S ribosomal RNA". It matches the Rfam family "Bacterial small subunit ribosomal RNA", at positions 523 to 769 of the family's 1533-position model. The record is from RNAcentral.
AUACGUAGGUGGCAAGCGUUGUCCGGAUUUACUGGGUGUAAAGGGCGCGUAGGCGGGGCGACAAGUCCGAUGUGAAAUCCCGCGGCUCAACCGCGGAACCGCAACGGAAACUGUCGUCCUUGAGUACCGGAGGGGAAAGCGGAAUUCCUAGUGUAGCGGUGAAAUGCGUAGAUAUUAGGAGGAACACCGGUGGCGAAGGCGGCUUUCUGGCCGGAAACUGACGCUGAUGCGCGAAAGCGUGGGGAGC